Long non-coding RNA from Branchiostoma floridae (Florida lancelet), 463 nucleotides. RefSeq lists it as uncharacterized. The record is from RefSeq and is a predicted model, not a curated record. Lineage: Eukaryota; Metazoa; Chordata; Leptocardii; Amphioxiformes; Branchiostomatidae. The transcript is spliced from 3 exons.
AUAGAAUACAUUUAAACAAGGAGCUUUUAUCAGUAGGAGAGAGUACGGAUUAGUUUCCAUUGUUCGUAUGUUCGUAGCGGGCGACAAAAUUUUAUUAACACCCACGUGUCAAAAACCCGCAUCUGCAUACAUUUCACCCACGCAAGCGUUUGUUUUCCCUUUGUUUUGUGGUCAUUUUCAUGGUGGGGCGGCCUGGGGAUACAAACAUUGUGUGUAGCGAUCUGAUUUUUGCGAUUUUGUUGACAAUGUUGAACAGAAGAGUAACUUCGGAAUAUAUACAGCGGCGGCAAUAUUCUCUCUGACUGAGGGUGAAAUUUCAAAGUCAUACGGCGACCGGACAGCACCGCCGCUCGGGUACGGGCUAAGCCUAAAGGCAAAAUUGUCUGGGGCAAAGUCUACGAAAAAAAACUGGUAAUAUUCCUACAAUUAAUGAUGACUGUGAAAAACCUGACUCAAUGAUCAC